GGGAUUGUUAGCUGGCAGAAAUGAAUAGAUAGAUGGAUGGAAUUGAAGAAGUAGAAGAAAUAUAAAGAUGAAAUCGAUCAGCAAAAGGGUCGCCGGAUCUUUCGCCAUCCCCACGUCGUCUCAUGCAUGAGAUUCCUCCAAUUCAUACUGUCAUACUACUUAUUAUGGGGGGUGGGUUCUUCCUACCUUCUUCCCUUCUCAGUUGAUUAGGCCAUAAGCACGUGAAUCAAGAUUCAUACUCUGUUUAUUUUAUGUAUUAGUAUAUGUUUACAUUCCAUGUACUACAAGUAUGCCCUUUCUCAUUUCAGUAUGUUGGAGUUGGACUACCUUUCCAACCAAUCAUAUGCUUAAUUUCUAUGCAAAUUAGGCUUGAUUAAAGAUUUUAUGUCCAUUUUUUUUAAAAAAAAGAAGGAAUUAAAAGCUUCAUAUAUACCAAACACUCAUGAAUGCCCAAAUUUGUCUAGAACUAGAACCUAAACCAGAUGAAUGGGGGAUUGAUUUGAAGGGCAAGAAAUAUGAUCUCCCAAGUAAAUAUUUCAAAGAGUAAUUGGGUUCAUUCCAACACAUGCAUACAUACAUUGUGCAGGCAGGCCAGUAAUAAUAAGAUGGAUCUUUAAUUUAGUGGAGUAUUAAGCUUUUGAACAACAUUUAAUUACUUGUAUAUUUUUCAGAAGCUCAAUGAAGAUCUUUUUCAGUUGAGGACAAGAGAAGGGGUCAUUAGAAAUAAAUAAAUUAACAAAGCUGCUGGCAUCCAGUUCCUUGUCUCAAGGAGAUUGUGUUGUUCCUCAAUCACAGAUAUAGAAUGAACUGAUCAUAAAUCACAGAAAUAACCCAUGUUCAUUUAAGUUAAUCAUAUCCUCCUUAUCUUUUAAACAUUAAUUUAUUUACGAAUUAAUUACUUCUCUGUGCUCAACCGCGUUGUCAAUGAAUCCACAUGCCAAACUUAAGCUCCUAACAAUCACUUGUUUAUUUAUAAGUUGAAAAUUAGUUGACAUCCACACACCCGUUUUAAAAUUAGAUAUAUAUUUUUCAUUUAAUGUAUUUUAAAAUUAGAGAUAUUUGUGUAUUUAAAUUAUAAAGUUACAUAAAAUUCUUAAUAUGUCAAUACUACUAUUAUUUUGGCACUACUCCUAUAUUUUUAAGGAAUUAAUUUUUGAAAGUUUAUAUAUUCUUAUGAGUAAAAUAGAAUGACAUCCCGUGUAGAUAAUUAUAAUAACACUUAUUACCGCUCUAAUCGCUCUAAUUUUUCAAAUAACAGUCAGUACUCCUCUAGUCCACAAUGGGUAGCAUUCACUAUCUCUAGUGUGGUUGUCCAACUAAUAUUCAAAAAUAUUUUUAAUAUAAUGUCUAAUAUGCCUUCAAGUUAUAAUGUUUAAUAUAUCCACUAAAUAUAAAUUUAUAUAUUAUAUUUU
This 1412-nucleotide long non-coding RNA is filed under the name Panax ginseng (ginseng). Its description in RNAcentral is "long non-coding RNA (PGIN_LNC016135)". Lineage: Eukaryota; Viridiplantae; Streptophyta; Magnoliopsida; Apiales; Araliaceae. The record is from RNAcentral.